Felis catus (domestic cat) is the source of this 623-nucleotide long non-coding RNA. RefSeq lists it as uncharacterized. NCBI's taxonomy places the organism in Eukaryota, Metazoa, Chordata, Mammalia, Carnivora, Felidae. The record is from RefSeq and is a predicted model, not a curated record. The transcript is spliced from 2 exons.
UUUUCAUGUGCUCUGCCCCUGGGAGCACUGCUAUAUUAAAGGGUGGGGGGUCAUACACUGUCCAGGGCCUUGCCCUUCAGAUGUUUUUUGAAGAUUGUUACUUGCUCUCUGUUGUUGUGACUUUGGUUAUUUUAUUUCCCUACUCUUGGACCCUCCCCCAGGUGUGCUUUGAUUUGUUCCUCGAUGUAGCCCUGGAAAGGAAAACAACCAGAGAAACCAACGGGAAACAAAAACACGCAAACACACAGACAAAUAAAGCAAACAAACAAACAAAAACAAUCCAAAAGGAAAAAACCAGAAACACCAUCUACAGGUAAAGAACAGGGUGGAGGCGGUGCUGAUGGAAGAGCAUAUACAAAGACAUAAAUGACAGUCUUGUGAUAAUCAGCAUAAUUUCACCUCCUGAAUUUGAAUGAAUUAUGGGACAUAACCAAGAUCAGACUGUAGACAUCUAAGAUUGAAGGCCAUGGCCUGGAUCCUAAUGAACUCACCAGGGCAAAUAAACCCUGUGAGAUGGUCCUGCAGCAGCCAAUCAAUGCUCUUUUGUGCCACCCAGUCCCUGCUGUGUAACUUUGAGUUUCUAUAAAUCCAUUAAGGUCCCAAUAAAUUUUGUGUCUCAGUGC